This 175-nucleotide ribosomal RNA is filed under the name uncultured bacterium. RNAcentral describes it as "partial 16S ribosomal RNA". It matches the Rfam family "Bacterial small subunit ribosomal RNA", at positions 356 to 523 of the family's 1533-position model. The record is from RNAcentral.
GGGGAAUUUUGGACAAUGGGGGCAACCCUGAUCCAGCCAUGCCGCGUGCGGGAAGAAGGCCUUCGGGUUGUAAACCGCUUUUGUCAGGGAAGAAAUUUUCCGGGCUAACACCUCGGGAGGAUGACGGUACCUGGAGAAUAAGCACCGGCUAACUACGUGCCAGCAGCCGCGGUAA